GACGAACGCUGGCGGCGUGCCUAAUACAUGCAGUAGAACGCUGAAGGAGGAGCUUGCUUCUCUGGAUGAGUUGCGAACGGGUGAGUAACGCGUAGGUAACCUGCCUGGUAGCGGGGGAUAACUAUUGGAAACGAUAGCUAAUACCGCAUAAGAGUAGAUGUUGCAUGACAUUUGCUUAAAAGGUGCAAUUGCAUCACUACCAGAUGGACCUGCGUUGUAUUAGCUAGUUGGUGGGGUAACGGCUCACCAAGGCGACGAUACAUAGCCGACCUGAGAGGGUGAUCGGCCACACUGGGACUGAGACACGGCCCAGACUCCUACGGGAGGCAGCAGUAGGGAAUCUUCGGCAAUGGACGGAAGUCUGACCGAGCAACGCCGCGUGAGUGAAGAAGGUUUUCGGAUCGUAAAGCUCUGUUGUAAGAGAAGAACGAGUGUGAGAGUGGAAAGUUCACACUGUGACGGUAUCUUACCAGAAAGGGACGGCUAACUACGUG
Molecule: ribosomal RNA, 494 nt
Filed under: uncultured bacterium
Lineage: Bacteria
Description: partial 16S ribosomal RNA
Rfam family: Bacterial small subunit ribosomal RNA
Source: RNAcentral